This 253-nucleotide ribosomal RNA is filed under the name uncultured bacterium. RNAcentral describes it as "partial 16S ribosomal RNA". It matches the Rfam family "Bacterial small subunit ribosomal RNA", at positions 524 to 776 of the family's 1533-position model. The record is from RNAcentral.
UACAGAGGGGGCUAGCGUUGCUCGGAAUCACUGGGCGUAAAGCGCACGUAGGCGGAUCUUUAAGUCAGGGGUGAAAUCCUGGAGCUCAACUCCAGAACUGCCUUUGAUACUGAGGGUCUCGAGUCCGGGAGAGGUGAGUGGAACUGCGAGUGUAGAGGUGAAAUUCGUAGAUAUUCGCAAGAACACCAGUGGCGAAGGCGGCUCACUGGCCCGGUACUGACGCUGAGGUGCGAAAGCGUGGGGAGCAAACAGG